RNAcentral lists this ribosomal RNA (252 nucleotides) under uncultured bacterium. RNAcentral describes it as "partial 16S ribosomal RNA". It matches the Rfam family "Bacterial small subunit ribosomal RNA", at positions 524 to 776 of the family's 1533-position model. The record is from RNAcentral.
UACGUAGGGUGCGAGCGUUGUCCGGAAUUAUUGGGCGUAAAGGGCUCGUAGGCGGUCUGUCACGUCGGGAGUGAAAACACGGGGCUUAACCCCGUGCCUGCUUCCGAUACGGGCAGACUGGAGUACUGCAGGGGAGACUGGAAUUCCUGGUGUAGCGGUGGAAUGCGCAGAUAUCAGGAGGAACACCGGUGGCGAAGGCGGGUCUCUGGGCAUGUCCUGACGCUGAGGAGCGAAAGUGUGGGAGCGAACAGG